This 33815-nucleotide long non-coding RNA is filed under the name Coffea arabica (coffee). Its description in RNAcentral is "long non-coding RNA (CARA_LNC003776)". Lineage: Eukaryota; Viridiplantae; Streptophyta; Magnoliopsida; Gentianales; Rubiaceae. The record is from RNAcentral.
AAAACGCAGAGUGGCCGCAGCAUUAGAGGAUAUCCACACAAGACCUAAACUUCCGCCGGUUUCAAGUGAAAAGAAAAGAUCGCUACGUUGGUGGCGCUGCCGUUGCUGUUGCUGCUCUCGUUCUACUGCCGCCGACUCCAUCACCACAACUCCUCCCUGCUGCCAUUGCCGGACAAGAGUUAUUGCCAACGGCAGAUUUGAUAACAAAUCCUGAGGUGGCUGAUAUUAAAGGUAAUUUCCGUGCUAUUUUUUCCAAUAUAUAAGAUCAAAUAUAUAACAGAUUUUUGCCAUGUUGAUCGCUGCAAUUUCUUGCCCUUUUGUUGUGUCGCUUGGCUUGAGCCUUCUACCAUGUUUGCAUAUGAUUUAAGGUGAUGUUGAGGCGAUGAGUUGUGUUUAAGUUUUGGGCCACAUGAUCUUGUUUCAGUCCAAAUUUGUGAUUUUUGUUAGUGAGGUAUUCGGUUGAUAAUGGAACCCAAUAGUUGCAGAAAUUUUUCCAGAUUUUCGCAUAUUCUCUCUCUGAUUUUUAUGUUUAAACAUAAGACUCUGUGGUCAAAAAUAGAAAGAUUACUGGAUGAUCUUGUUGUUCUGAUUCAAGUUUGUCGGUUUGGCCAUUUAGUUAUAUUUAGACUGCAUUCAAGAACUCACCAGAAAAUUGAAAUCAACAUUCAAAUUAAAGAAGCAAUAAAAGAAUGCAUUUCCUGUCUUUCGAAUCUGUUGGGGAUAGGUGGUAGCACUUUGGGGGCAAUGGUAACAAUGGGUUGAAGAUCAUAGUGUUAUUCUUGGUUUUGAUGAUCACAAAGUACUUUGAAAUGUUUAUCUAACUCUCUUCAAAUAUAAGUGUUUUUUGCCUAUCAAAGAAUCAGGUACGAAUAUGUCAAGAAAUGAAAAUCAACCAAAAGAAGUAGCAAAAACAGGACACUCAUGUCGGACGUCCAAAGGAAUCUGUCGGACGUCCGAAAGGAUAAAGAACAUCAAGAAGGAAGCUCUGUCGGACGCUCAUAAGGAAGCGUCGGACGUCCGGAAUGAUCGGACGCACGUCUCGGACGCACAUCAACCGCGUCGGACGUCCGAAAAAUUCCAAGAAAACUUGCCAACUCUCUGACGACGAUCGGACGCUGAUACUGUCGGAUGAUAAAAACGCAUCGGACGUCCGAACUACAACUUGGCUGUUUUCGGACGAUAGGUUGGGACGAUGAUUUGGUCGUCGGACGUCCGACAGCCCCAACGGCUAGCUGACUCUUCAUCUGCCUUCUAUCCGUUUGAAGAAUUAAUGAACCCCAUUUUUGGUCCCCUUUAAAAAUAAACUGUUCUGAACCAAGAAGAAAUUUUUGCACACUUUGUUUACAAGAUCUCAAGAGAUUUUUUAGCUUGAAAAUAGUCUCCAAGACAAGAUUUGUUCUCCAAGUGGUGUGAAUUUUUUGUGAGCAUUUCUCUUGUGGUUGAAAGUUUUAUAAGUGUAACUUUUAUUGAGGGUUAUCUGAGUGAUUGUAAAACUUCUUAACUUGACUAAGUGAGGCUUAGGGCAAGGAGGAAGUGCUCCCUCCAUUGUACAUCUAGUUGAUCAUCUUUCAUCAAAAAAAAGUUGCUCAACCUAGUGAUUGGUUUUCAAGUUUGAGGAAAGCUUGGUAGACAAUCGGUUUGAUAAUCUAUCUUAUUCUUUUUGUUUAAUAAAAUUCUCAUUGCUUAUCUAUACUUGUUUUUCUAAUCAACAUUGCUCUCUUCUUCUAAUCUACUUGGUUGAUCAUUACUAGAAAAGAAGGUAAAUUUUUAUUAAAGAAAAAGUGCAUAAAUUUGAUUAAAAUUUUAAUCAACCUAAUUCACCUCCCCUCUUAGGUUGUCUUUGGGCCUUACAAUUGGUAUCAGAGCUUGGUCUCCUAGAGAUUAAGCUCAAGCGGCUUGGAGUAAAGAUGACAACCAGUCAUGCCAUGUUUGUUGAGGGGCAAUCUGUUACUAGGCCUCCCAUGUUUAGUGGCUCCAAUUAUGUUAGUUGGAAAGAAAGGAUGAUUAUCUUUUUGCAAUCUAUUGAUAUUGAACUAUGGUUUAUUGUGAGUGAAGGACCGCAUGAAACUAACUUUCUUGAUGCAGAUACAGGUUUGCAUCGGCCAAAAACGAGAGCUGAAAUGAAUGCUCAAGAUAGGACUAAUCUCACAUUGAAUGCCAAAGCCAUGAAUGUUCUUUAUAGUGCCUUAGAUUCAAAUGAAUCAAUUAGAGUAAAAGGCUGUAAAUCGGUCAAAGAAAUGUGGGAUAAGUUAAGAGAAAUCCAUGAGGGUGGUGACAAUGUGAGAUAACAGAAAAAGGCUAUCUUGGUCACAAAGUAUGAAUCAUUUAAAAUUGAAUCUCUUGAGGAUAUUGAUAAAAUGUAUUGCAGGUUCAAUGACUUGAUCAAAGAUCUCGAGGUGUUGAGCAAAAAGUACACCUUGGGAGAGAAGAACAGGAAAAUUCUCAAUGCAUUGGGCAAAGAAUGGGAAAAUAAAGUGUCUGCAAUAGAUGAGGCUAAGGAUUUAAAUUCUGUGCCUAUUGAAUCUCUCAUUAACUCACUAAUCUCUUAUGAGUUGAAAUUGAAAUCUAAAGUGCAGGAGGAAGAGGAUGCUAGAGCAAAGAGAAACAUUGCUCUAAAGACUACUCAAGGUGAAGAUGAUCCAGCUCACUUGGAUGAUGAAGACUCGGAUGGUGAUGAUAAUGAUCUUGCUCUCAUCACAAGAGGCUUCAAGAGAAUCUUGAAUAAAAGGAAGUUUAGAAGGGGAGGAUCUAGCAAUCAAUUUCAAAAUUAUUCAUCAAAUGCAAAGAACAAAGGAAAACAAGAAUUCAACAAGAAGCAAGUGGACAAAUGCUAUGAAUGUGGACAGCCUGGAUACUAUGCAAACGAAUGCCCCAUGAAGAAAAUGAAAGAUGGGAAAGCUGAUCGAAAGCCAAGAUUCAACAACUUCCAGAUUACUUGGAAUGAAUGCAACUCCGAAGGGGAAGUUGAAGAAGAGGAAGAAUUAGCUCAAAUGGCCUUCAUGGCUAUUGGAGAUAAUGAGGUAACUUCCAUACACUCUCAAUCUGAAAGUGAUGAUGAAGAAGAUGAUGAUCUUGAAUCCUUUGUUGAAAAACUGCAUAAUGCCUUGAAGGAAUCUUAUGAUAAAAACAAGCAGCUAAAACAAAAAAUUGCUUUUCUCAUUCAUGAAAAUGCAAGUCUUCUUCAAAAAAAUAAACAACUAAAGACUGACAAUGAAUGUCUUGUAAGAGCCGGAUUUGAUGUUCAAAAUGAGUUUGAUAGAAAGACAAGUAUUUGUGAAAUGCUGAAGGAAAGACAUGGUGAUUUGAAGAAAAGAAUGGAUAACUUGGAUGAGACUUUGAAAGCAAGAAAGCAAGAUUUUCUCAAAAAGAACAUGUCAUCUACCUUUCUUACUGCUCAUCAAAGAACAUUAGCACACAACAAAAAUGCACAUGAUUUCACAACAUAUAGAAGAAGUGGAUUGAGAUAUGUCAAACCAUUACAUGUUAAGGACUCUUCCAUUAUGUGUGAUUUUUGUUGUCAAGAAGGGCAUUUGAAAGGAGAUUGCUAUGUGAAAAGAAAUUUGAACAAAGGGAUGAGAUGCAUGUGGUUAGUUAGACACAAUGCUAACUAUUGUGGACCCAAAAAUUAAAAAGGGUACCAAACACUUUCUCUUUUCAGGAAAAAUGCUCAAACAAGUCCAAAUGGUUUAUUGAUAGUGGCUGCUCAAGGCAUAUGACCGGUGAUCCCUCUUUGUUCAUAAAGCUAAGAUCAAAAUCAAAUGAAAAGGUGACAUUUGGUGAUGAUGUGAAAGCUAAGACAAUUGGAAUAGGUGAUGUUGGUAAGGAUGGUGAAACUUUUGUUCAUAAUGUGCUCUUAAUUGAUAAUUUAGGUUAUAACUUGCUUAGUGUUAGUCAAUUGUGUGAUGAAGACUUGAAUGUGUUGUUUAAAAAGCAUGAAUGCAUUGUGCUUGAUUCCAAAUACAAUGUUGUGUUCAAAGGUAAGAGAUUUAACGACAUAUAUAUUGUGGUUCUUGAUAAAAUUGAUUCAUCUAACUUCAAAUGCCUUAAAGCUUCAAAUGAAGAUCCUUGGUUGUGGCAUAGGAGACUUUGUCAUUUUAAUAUGGAUUUACUAAAGGAAAUUUUGAAAAAGGAGCUGGUUAGAGGCUUGCCAAAAAUCAGUUUUGAAAAGGAUAAAAUUUGUUAUGCAUGUCAAUUUGGAAAACAAACAAAAGUUUCUUUUAAACCAAAGAAGUGUGUAUCAACUUCUAAACCUUUAGAACUCUUGCAUCUUGACUUAUUUGGUCCUACUCAAAUCACUAGCUUGGGAGGUAAGAAAUACUGCUUUGUGAUUGUGGAUGAUUAUUCUAGAUAUACUUGGGUGAUAUUUCUUGCUCAUAAGGAUGAUGGCUUCAAGAAUUUCACUUCAUUGUUUGCUAAAGUGCAAAAUCUGCUUGGUUUAAAAAUUGUUAGGAUUAGAAGUGAUAAUGGAACGGAAUUCAAGUAUUGUGAUUUUCUAAAAUUUUGUGAUUAUAAUGGCAUAACACAUGAGUUUUCUAUUGCAAGAACUCCACAACAAAAUGGUGUUGUAGAAAGGAAAAAUAGGACACUACAAGAGGCUGCUAGAACUAUGUUAAGUAAAUGUAGUUUGCCAAAAUACCUUUGGGCUGAAGCGGUAAACACUGCAUGUUAUGUGAUGAAUAGAAUCCUUUUGAGACCUAUUUUGAAUAAAACAUCUUAUGAACUGAUUUUUGAUAAGAAACCUACGGUUGGAUAUUUCAAAGUCUUUGGUUGUAAAUGUUUUAUUUUAAAUUUAAAGGAACGUCUUGGUAAGUUUGAGAAAAAAUCUGAUGAAGGAAUAUUUUUGGGAUAUUGUGAGAACAAAAGAGGAUAUAGAGUCUUUAAUAGAAGGACUCUUGUGAUAGAAGAAACCAUACACAUAACAUUUGAUGAAACUAAUGAUGAUAAUUCCAAAAAUUCGUGUGAGGAUGAUGAUGUAGGUGUUCGUGAAGGAAUGGAAAAGCUAAAAAUUGGAGAUGGAGGAAACUCUAAACCGGAAGCAAAGGAAAUGGAGAAUGAAGCUCAUGAAGAUCAAGAAAGGGAAGAUGAGGACAAAAAUGAUGAUUCAUUCAAAGAUCUUCCCAAGGUUUGGAAAUUUAGCCAAAAUCAUCCAAAAGAACUUAUAAUUGGUGAUCCAUCUGAGAAGGUAAACACUCGUUCCUCAUCUAAGAAAUUGAUAGACAAUUUUGCUUUAGUUUCUCUUUUUGAACCUAAAAAUAUCAAUGAUACCUUAAAGGAUGAAAACUGGAUUUUGGCAAUGCAAGAGGAACUCAAUCAAUUUGAAAGAAAUGAGGUUUGGACAUUAGUUGAUAGACCUCAAAAUCACCCUAUCAUUGGCACUAAGUGGGUAUUUAGAAAUAAGCUGGAUGAUAAAGGUGUAGUUGUAAGAAAUAAAGCUAGAUUAGUUGCAAAAGGGUAUGCUCAAGAAGAAGGAAUUGAUUUUGAUGAAACAUUUGCUCCCGUAACUAGAUUAGAAUCAAUUAGAAUGCUUCUCGCUUUUGCUUGCUUCAAGGGUUUUAAACUGUUUCAAAUGGAUGUUAAAAGUGCCUUUUUAAACGGUUUUAUUGAUCAAGAAGUAUAUGUGGAUCAACCCCCCGGUUUUGAAAAUUCAAAAUUUCCAAAUCAUGUGUUUAAACUCUCAAAAGCAUUGUAUGGGCUAAAACAAGCUCCAAGAGCUUGGUAUGAAAGAUUGAAUGGUUUCUUGAUUGAAAAUAAUUUCAAAAGAGGAGUUGUGGACACCACACUGUUUACUAAGCAAGUACUAAAUGAACUCCUUAUUGUGCAAAUAUAUAUAGAUGAUAUUAUUUUUGGUGCUACUAAUGAGUAUCUAUGUAAGGAUUUUUUCACCAUUAUGCAAAGUGAAUUUGAAAUGAGUAUGAUGGGAGAAUUAAUUUCUUCCUUGGACUUUAAAUACAUCAAGCCAUAGAGGGCAUUUUCAUAAAUCAAGCAAAAUACACUAAGGAAUUGCUGAAAAGAUUUGGCAUUGAGGAUUCAAAGCAAGUUGGAACUCCAAUGUGCACUUCAACAAAACUUGACCAAGAUGAAGAAGGUAAACAUGUGGAUGAAAAGCACUAUAGAUGUAUGAUUGGAAGCUUACUUUAUUUAACCGCAAGUAGACCCGAUAUUAUGUUUGUUGUUUGCUUGUGUGCUAGAUUUCAAUCUUGUCCAAAAGAAUCACAUUUGAAUGCUGUUAAAAGAAUUUUUAGGUAUUUGAAAGGUACAUUAGACUAUGGUCUUUGGUAUGCUAGAUCUAGUGAGUUUGCACUAUAUGGAUAUUCGGAUGCUGAUUUUGGAGGUUGUCGUGUGGAUAGAAAGAGUACUAGUGGAACUUGUCACUUUCUUGGUAAUUGCUUAGUCUCUUGGUUUAGCAAGAAACAAAAUGCAAUCUCUUUGUCUACAACCGAAGCGGAAUAUAUUACCGCUAGUGCAUGUUGUGCUCAACUUUUAUGGAUGAAGCAUACCAUGAAUGAUUUUGGAUUGUCAUAUGACUGCAUGCCUAUAUUCUGUGAUAAUGCUAAUGCUAUCAAUUUGACCAAAAAUCCAAUUCAACAUUCUAGGACAAAGCAUAUAGAUAUAAAGCACCACUUUAUUCGCGAUCUUGUUAAAAAAGGUGAAGUAUGUGUAAAUUAUGUUUGUUCUAAAGAUCAAUUUGCUGAUAUUUUUACAAAAGCUUUGCCAUUAGAUUAGUUCACUCAUCUAAGAUCAAAAUUAGGGAUAAUCAAAAAAUCAUCUUAAAAUUUUUCAAAGCCUUCGGACGUCCGAAAGAAGAUGAACGGACGUCCGAUAAUGUUCUUCAGCUAUUUUCCAGAAAACACCUGUUCGGACGAAGCUGUCGGACGCACGACUUUGUUCGGCCAUCAAACAGUGCAACGGUUCACUUUUUAAAGUAACUUUCUUCUUCAUUUGCUUCAAACUCUUCUUCUUCUAUUUCCUCUCGGACGAAAACUCUCUCGUUUCUCACUCUCAAAUUCGUACCAUUCUGAAGCUCUCAUUCCCAAAUUGACUCAACCAAAACUUUUCCUGAUCGAUUGCGAUUCGUUUCUCCUGAUCAUUUCACCGAAUCGCAUAACAUUUCGCAAAUUCCCAAAUUUCACUCAAAACCCUAUUUUCUCAUAACCGCUCUGUCCAAUCUUCUUCAAGGCCUUUUUGUCCCAAAAUUUCUGUGUGAUUCACUUCCAUACUACUGUGUGCAUCAUUUGCAUCCUUCAUUCCACACAUUUCGCACAAUGGUGAAUCUAAGAGGAGGGAAGGUCACUGCCGGACGCAAGCAUCCACUCAGGGAUGAGGAUGAUGAUGUUCCUACGGUCAAACGAUCAUCCAAACGCUUCAAGAGGGGAGCUGUAAAGGGUCAAAUGUCACAGCCUACACCACAACCCACCCCUCAACCUGAAUUUGGACAGGGAACCUCAUCUCAACCGCCUCCAAAAUCAACCACAGUCCCUACAUUCUUUGAUGAUGCUGCAAAAGACAAACACUCCUGGAUAUCCCAGAAAGGUGUCAUCCCUCAACGCACCGUAAAUUCUUCUGAAUUUCGCCAAAUAGGUUUAGAAUCCAUUCUGAGUCUGUUUGCUUUCCAAAAAUGGUCACAUCUCAUUUCUAUGCCUAAUGUCUAUUAUCCUGAAAUGCUGUUUCAAUUUUUUGCCAAUCUUAGGAAAGGCACUGACCAAACUGAGAUUAUGUCCAGGGUUAAUGGGGUAGGCUUAGUUUUUGAUUCUGAAAUUGUGAAUGAUAUUUUAAAAACUACUAUUGAACCUGGAUGCAAGAGUAAAAUUACAAAUUUCUUUUCCUAUGAAGAGCAUCCUACUGCUGAUAAUCAUUUUGAUGGGGCUAAGAUGUUAACUUAUUUUAAAAGAAGUUUUUCUGCCCCUGCUGAUGCUAAACUGAAUGAUCUUGCCCCUGUGAAUCUAACUGCCUUUUCAAUCAUUUCAAACUAGCUUGUGCCUACUGAUGGCCAUAGAACAGAUGCAAACAAAAUGGAGUUGUAUCUCUUUUACUGUUUUCGAGAAAAGAUUCGUAUUGAUUUUGGUUUUGUCAUGUGCAAGUUUUUAUUUCGUUAUGCCACUGAUUCUCGCAGAAAAUUAUCUUAUGAAAAUUUUCUUCAAAAGAUUUUUGAGUUUUACAAAAUACCAAUUCUAGGUGUUUGUCCCAAAGAAGCAUCUUCUUAUGCCUCUACCAAAGGAUAUUUUGAAAGGAAAAAUCUUGUCUUUAAGGAUAACUUAUGGGUUUAUAAGGGGGCAUCAUCUAGUGAACUUAGGUCUAAGGCUGCACAUGAUCCACUACACACUCCUUCAUCUGUUGCACUCACUCCCAUUCAUCCCAGGAAGUCUGCCACUAAGGCAUCUUCCUCCUCCAAUAAUGAAGUGAUUGAGUUCCUUCGUGAACUCAAACAGCAUGUUCUUCUUCUGGAACAUGGUCUAAUGCUCACCAUGUCCUCUGAGCAACAAACAGCCUACCUAGACAAAAAGAACCUUCUUUUUCCCCCACCUGUGAUUGAGGAAGUUUUCCAUGGCAAAGAGCCACGCCCCACUGAUCCAAGUUCAUCAAUUCCAGACCCGAGCUCAUCAACUCCCGUGAUUCCUCAUGGCCCUUCCACAUCAGAUAAAGGCAAGGCACUAGUUGAAGAAGCUGCUGAAGAUGAUGAAGAAACUGAAGAGGAGGACCUCUCCCAAUAUCAGCUUUCUCGAAGGACACCUGGAUCCACCUAGUUCACCAUUUAGGAUCACAUAGGGUCAUUUGCAUUUUGUUUGACUAUUUCAUGUGUUUCUAGUGUUUGUGGUGUUCAACAAUGGAUAUGUAGAUGUAAUGCUUAUGUUUAUGUUGUGUUCGUUUAGUACUUUUUGAUGGAUGAUUAUGGCUGUAAUGGUUAUGGAUAUGUGGAUGGAUGUUUACGUAUUUUGAAUGAUGAAUGUGUGGAUGUGAUAAAUAUUUUUGUUAUUAGUUCUCCGUGAUAUACGUGAUUGAUUGGUCUUUUGUGAUGACAAAAAGGGGGAGAGGUCUGGAUUGGAUUGAUUGAUGAUUUAAUUGAAAUUGAAUUGGCUUGAUGGAUUGAAUUGGUAAAAUGUUGGAUGUUGACUGCUUAAUUGUUAUAUUUUUGGAUAAUUGAUUAAUUCGGUAGGGUAGCCAAGUGAGGGGGAGUUUUUCAAAUUUUUGCUCUAUGAUCCACUAAGUAAGGGGGAGUUUUUGUCAAUUGAGAAAGGGGGAGCUUAUAUUGCAAUCAUCAAAUCUCAUUUCAAACCAUUGUUAUGUCAUCAUCAAAAAGGGGGAGAAUGUUAUUCUUGGUUUUGAUGAUCACAAAGUACUUUGAAAUGUUUAUCUAACUCUCUUCAAAUAUAAGUGUUUUUUGCCUAUCAAAGAAUCAGGUACGAAUAUGUCAAGAAAUGAAAAUUAACCAAAAGAAGUAGCAAAAACAGGACACUCAUGUCGGACGUCCAAAGGAAUCUGUCGGACGUCCGAAAGGAUAAAGAACAUCAAGAAGGAAGCUCUGUCGGACGCUCAUAAGGAAGCGUCGGACGUCCGAAAUGAUCGGACGCACGCCUCGGACGCACAUCAACCACGUCGGACGUCCGAAAAAUUCCAAGAAGACUUGCCAACUCUCUGACGACGAUCGGACGCUGAUACUGUCGGACGACAAAAACGCAUCGGACGUCCGAACUACAACUUGGCUGUUUUCGGACGAUAGGUUCGGACGAUGAUUUGGUCGUCGGACGUCCGACAGCGCCAACGGCUAGCUGACUCUUUAUCUGCUUUCUAUCCGUUGGAAGCAUUAAUGAAACCCAUUUUUGGUCCCCUUUAAAAACAAAUUGUUCUGAACCAAGAAGAAAUUUUUGCACACUUUGUUUACAAGAUCUCAAGAGAUAUUUUAGCUUGAAAAUAGUCUCCAAGACAAGAUUUGUUCUCCAAGUGGUGUGAAUUUCUUGUGAGCAUUUCUCUUGUGAUUGAAAGUUUUAUUAGUGUAACUUUGUUGAGGGUUAUCUGAGUGAUUGUAAAACUUCUUAGUUUGACUAAGUGAGACUUAGAGCAAGGAGGAAGUGCUCCCUCCAUUGUACAUCUAGUUGACCAUCUUUCAUCAAAGAGAAGUUGCUCAACCUAGUGAUUGGUCUUCAAGUUUGAGGAAAGCUUGGUAGACAAUCGGUUUGAUAUUGUAUCUUAUUCUUUUUGUUUAAUAAAAUUCUCAUUGCUUAUCUAUACUUGUUUUUCUAAUCAACAUUGCUCUCUUCUUCUAAUCUACUUGGUUGAUCAUUACUAGAAAAGAAGGUAAAUUUUUAUUAAAGAAAAAGUGCAUAAAUUUGAUUAAAAUUUUAAUCAACCUAAUUCACCGCCCUCUUAGGUUGUCUUUGGGCCUUACACAUAGCAUUGGGGUUUGGUGGGUAAAUCAAUAGGUUCUGUUUGCAUCCCUUUGAAAGAUCAUGUUUCGGUUUUGCAUAAGAAAAUUGCAAAAACUUUGAAAGUACUGUCAUUCGAUGCUUGCUAGAUUUUUUCCGUAUGAAUUUCUGGAGUUUAAACAUAAACUUUUAUGUUGAAAAGUUAAAAGAAAGCUUGGUUAUCUUGUUACCUUGAUCUAAUUGUCAUUGGACGAGACAUGAGCUACAUUUGAAUGAAAAGGAGAUUGCAUCUUAGAACUUAGUUGCAGAAGCUUUUCUCAUGUUAUUUUGCAUGAAGCUGCAUUAGCUUUCAUGUUUUGAUCCCCGCAGCAGCUCACAAAUUGGGUUUCAUCACCUUGUUUGCACAUUUAAUCUUGUGUCAAUGAUGGAUGCCGUCCCUCUGGGUUGUUCACAAACUGUAAAAUCGUAGCAGAAACUCGCAUAAGCAAAGGAAAUUUCGUUUGGCCAAAUGUCUGGAUGCAUGCAUGGAAACGUUAUUAAAAUUUGCAUCUUAACCCCCUAAGUCUCCUUUUAUCUUACAAUGGCCCAAGUAAUGGGAAAAUCAAUCAAAUUGACCCCUCAAACUUUCUUUUUUCCUUUUAAUUGGGUCCUCAUUUGGUGAAUAUGGGCUGUUUAGCUAUUUAAAUGUUUUUAAUGAUUCAAUUUCAUAUUUAUGUGAUUAUUUGCGAUGCCUUGACACUUUCUUUAUUUUUGGAGGGUAAAUAAGUAAUUUCACUCCAUUAGGGUUCCAACUCAAGGGAGGUACACUCUAUCCCUUAUUUUUUACUCUAUUUGACUCUACGUGCCUUAUGUGACUUUACGUGCUUAAUUGCUUGCCUUUUGAGUUAUUUAUAUAUUUAUUUAUUCGCUUUAUUUAUUUUUAAUUUUACAUAUUUAUUUUAGCUCAAUUUUGGUUAUUUAAAAGGCAUUUAAAUGCCAAGUUGUAAUAGUUAGGUUUAUUUUAUUUAUUUGCAUUUCCCCCCGUUAGAUUGUAGUAGGGCCCCCUCAAAUGUAAUAGCUAGGGUUUUAUUUGCUUCCUUUUUGCUUGUGUGAUUUGCAUGCUUACGUGCUAUGUGUUACCGCUUUCUUAGGGUCUUGCAUCUAGAUAUCAUGAUUAUGUGUCAUGUGUUUACGUGAUAUUAUGUGUUUACUCAUUUUAUUAUGUUUUAUGAGAUUAUAAUUAAAUGCAUGUUAUCACACUAGUCCAAUGCUAGCUGUGAUUCCUUUCCCGUCACCACACUAGUCCAACGCUAGUUGUGGCCCCUUUCUCGACUCCACACAAGUCCAAUGCUUGUGAGAGAGCAUUAGUAAGGGCUAGUCCAAUGUUAGACCCUUAGGGACCAUUCAUACGUUAGAUCAUGAUUGUGUGAUUAAAUCACUUCAUCUCAUGCAUGUUUUCACUUUUUAGGGUUUUUACCAUGUUGCAUGACACUUUUCUCAUAUGUGUAUAUCCUCUAUCCCAUAUCCCUUUCUAUUUAUAUCCCCUAUCUCAUAUUCCCUCUUAUAUCUAUGUCCCCUAUUUCUUAUAAUCCUAUGCAUGAAACAUGACAUUAGACUUGCAUUUUUAUUUAAGAAUUAGAACUAGGCUAGUACAUUUGCAUGAUGAGAUUAGGGAAAUUACCCCUUGCGUAUGAGAUAUGAACGAGUUUAGUUUCCUAAUCUUAGCACGCUUGUAUUCCCUUUAUUAAAGGGAACAUUGAAAGUCACGAGUGUAAGUCCCCCGCACCCAUUAUGAUGCAUUCCUUUAGGUCAUACACAUUUGUAUAUUAUUAGUUUCUUUACUUUUUCUUUCUUUAGAGUCUCAUGGUUUGCAUUAUUCGUGACAUUUCCAAAGAUUCUACAUUGGGCAUCACAAUUAAUGUGAUUAGCACCAAUUGAGAUUUGAAAAGAAAUUUCGACCCCUGAUACCAUCUUAAGUCUAGGGUUUGCAUUCAUAUAGUACAUCCAAAUGUGAUAAAUCUUAAGGGUAAAAUAAGAAAAUCUUUGACUAAAUCGCGCAACUAGCCUUGGCUAGGUUGAAAGGGUGCCUUGGAUUUUUAUCCUUGCCUUCCCUUUCUUCAAAUGUAACUCCCGAAUCUUUUUUUCUGAUUUUCGUAGACUUGGAGUCGUUUAAAAAGGAUUUUUCUACUUUUUCUUUAAAAAUUUAUUUUUAGGUGACUUGGUACACCUUAACUCUUUACCAAGUGGCGACUCCAUUUUUCAAACCCUUUUUAAACUAUAUUUUUGGGUCAAAUCGUCGCAUUUUCAAGUCCCAUUUAGACCCAUGUUUUUCAUUCUCUUCUUAAAUCAAAAAUUUAUUUUCCAAUAAAAAAAAAUUGAACCAAAAGCCAUUUUUCUAAACUCGUCUUUUAUUUUCUUAUUUUUAAAAUUGGGGCGCGACAGCUGGCGACUCCACUGGGGACUUAGAGAGUCCAAGCAAAUUUGAUUUAGUAAAUCCUUUUCUUCUUUUAACCUUUUCAUAUAUCGCAUUUUGGAUAUUUAGGGUUGCAUUUUUCCUUUUUUAGGAUUUUUGCAUUUUGCGCGUAUCAAUUCACUCCCUCGCACAUUUACAUACGAUUGAUUUGAUGGAUGAGUGAUUUAUUUAUGUGAUCCCGCGCUUUGCAUUGCAUUUGGGUGGGGAGAAUUUUACCCUAGAACCUCGCGUUGGUUCUCGAUCCCUCCCCUCCAAAUGAAGCACUUCAUACAUGCAUACAUAGUUUUAGUUACCCUAUUUUUCUCUUUAUCGUGGGCGCUAUCUUACAUCUCCCUGUAGGAUUAGGAUCGAUUUCCUUAGGUAGGCGGAUGGUGUGCACUGCUCCCAUAGCGAUGCCUAAGGGAUCACUCGAGCCACCGACCGAAAGCCCUGGGAGUGAUGACCCUUCGCCUUUAGGUCUGAAGGCUUGGGAGCCGAAGCCUUAUCGAGUUUAAAUGCAUUAGUGAGCCAAAUCUCAUGCAUCCAUAUUAGAAUUACCUAGGGUAGAGUCUGACUCACCCUAUUAGGGACACCAUUCACAAGGGGAGGGAUCCAACCCCUCUAUUCCUUUUAUUAUUUUACCUCUUUGUAUUGUUUUGCUACAAAUGUGUUAUAUGUAUUUAUCUGAUUGAACUAACUUUUUUUGGUUUUUGUCUCCAUUGCAUUCAUAAGCCCUAAAAAAUUAGAGUCCUGGCAUGGUACUCUUUAGGAUGCCUACCCUAUUUGAUAUGACACGUUUUAAUUCAAUGUUUCGUAUUGGCAGCAUAAAUACAUUUCAUUUUAGGCUCACCUCGGCAUACAAAAAGGGGUUCCUUUAGGACACGUUUUAUUGGUGUACUGCAUAUUUAGUCACUUUGAUAAACUGGCAUCAUACAUCCACCUUAGAGGGAAUGUCAUUUAGGAGAUCCCUUGUUAGGAAUAAACCGCCCUGUGUUUCGGAUAUUUAAUCCAAUGAGACUUGCACGUUUAUAUUUUUGUACUGUCCGAAGGGGUAGUGCACGAGAUAAGGUAGGAUCCGAUCUUUUUGAAGACGGCAAAGCAAUUUUUUGCACAUUAGAAUAUGAGCAUCUAACAAUCAUCUUUUGGCCAUUUUAAACAAAAUUGGUAAAAAUUCCCUUGCAUAAAGGACAUUAACUUGAAGAAAUUCACAAAUGAUUCCUCACUGUUGAGAGGAUAAAUGUAGAGCCCAAAUCUUGAUUUUAGGAGGCUCAUAAACUAAUGCAUUGCAAUGAUUUUGUAAAACUACUAAUGAGUAGAUGAUUCAAUCGAUUUUUGAAUAAACCAUCAAUUUCAUCCAAUCCAUUUUGUCAAUUCAUUCAAUUUUAGGGCAAUCUAAUCAUUUUUGAAUAAAUCAUUAACUCCGUUUCAAUCAUUUGGCCAAUUUACCCAUUUUUAGGGCAAUCGAGUCGAUUUUGAAGAGAUCAUCAGUUUCAUUCAAUUCAGCUGACCAAUCUGCCUAGUUUUAGGGCAAUUCGGUCGAUUUUGAAUAAAUCAUCAUUUCACUCGAUCUGUUUGGUUAAUUGAUUUCAUACAAUUCAUUUGAUUAGUUUAAUUCAUUUUUAGGGUUAUCCAUUUAAUUUUGAAUAAAUAAUCAAGUUUCAUUCAAUGCAUUUGACCAUUUUACCCUUUUUAAGGUAAUCUAGUCAAUUUUGAAUAAAUCAUCAAUUUCAUCCUAUCCAUUUGACUUGUUUAUUCCCUUUAGGGUUUAAAUUUAAGGUUCACUAAAUAAAUUAGUCAAGACAUUGCCAUCCUUUCAAGAGUAAGCUUUCUUUCACAUAUUAUAUGUUGAUCAAAGCAAGCAAUCCAUUCGGACUUUGUCCUCAUUUUUAGGACAAAUGUCUCUUCUUACUCCAAUUGGUCAAACUUUUUCAUAUUAUUUUUCACUCAAUCAGUGAAUCAGAUUCAUCAGGUAUUGUAUGGUGCCUACCCUAGAGAAUUGCAUUUUCAUGCUAGGCCUACCCUUGGCAUAAAAGGGCUCCCCCAUAGGACAUGCAUACCGAUUUUGUAGUCUUGCCUACUAACUCGAGGUAUUUUUUCUUUUGUUUUCCCCCCUCCCCUGCAUUUAUAAAAAUGCUUCAAUAAGGUAAAGAAUUCUAUAUCUGAUAACAAUUCUGACCUAACAAAGUGUGAAAAUUACAAGUAUUAUUUGAUUCUUGGGCAGAUCUUACAAUGAAAACAUGAAAGAUUCAUCUGAAAGCUCUAGGCUAAAGCCUCUGAGAGACUUUAUAAUUGUUUUUCAAAGGAAAAUUUUGUUUAUUUGAUUUGUUAAUACAUUUUUGUUCCAAAAGAAAGCGAGACAAAAAGUGUAUAUAUGAGGAGUUUUUUAGAAGUUUUCUCUUCUCAUUUGUAUUAUAAUUGAACGAGAAAUUUUGUUUUAAACUUUUUCAGCAAUAAAGUUUUGGACAAUUAUUGUUUUGUGUAUAUUCAUGUAUAUUUCAUUUCAUUCUUUAUUUUGCUCAUUGGAGAUUUCAUGAUGAAUUUUAACAAAUAAGACCAAAUUGAGAAAAUUGACAAGCGUAUGUUUUCUUUGCAUACCCUAGAUUAGUGAUCCAAACUGUAUAAUAAAAGCACUCAGAAUUAAAAGAGGUCACUCAAAAGACCCAAUGAGAUACCUUUUUCCUCCUUCACUGUACAGUUCAUAUUUUGUCCACUUCUAUUAUCCCCAAAAUAAAAUCUGUCACGUUGAUUGAUAAAUUAUAAAUUGGGGCAAUCUUUGUUUGAAAAUGCCCAUUGUGUCUAAUCCGAUUCAAUUCACAUCUAAGUGAAAGCAAAAAUGUGCAUUAUUCUUGUUUGUUUUGAAAUUUUGGAAUGAUAUUUCAAACGUUCGUUUCUCUAUCCAUGCAGCUUUUAUCAUUUGCUCUCCCAUUUGAGUCUUUAAAAGAAUAAUUUCGUUAAAAACCUUAAUGAUCAUUACCCUACAUUGAAAAAUUUUCAAAUAUUAAAAGGGAGUGAAUUUUCAAUGACCAUUUCGUUAUUUUGGUUGUCAUGAGGUGUAAGAAUGAUACUUUGGCCAUCAUUUUUACAACCUAAACACUAUUUAUCUCUUGCAUCCUCAUUUGAGCUAAAAUGGGUGGUUCUUUUCAAAGUACCUAUGAUCGCACCCCAUAUUGGGGAAGGAGAUUGGAGAAUUUUGUGAAAAAGGAAAAAGCUAAAAUGCUAAAAUUAAAGGAGAAGAGAGAGAACCCUAAAUCGGGAAAAUUUGAUUCUACCAUCGAUAUUUGGGCUUCAAUUUUGAAAAGAAGAAAAGAGAAAAAGAGAAGAGAAAGAGUGUCCGGCAAAUCAUCUAUAUGGAUGAACGAGAGUCAUUCUCGGUUAAUUGAUUCAAAUGCAUGCAAAAAAAUUUCGCAUUAAUGAAAAUUUUCCUUUCAGAGUUAAUGUAAGGAACGGAAUAAAAGUCAGGCUCUUUUCUUUUCCAAUCAAAUAUUCUAUCCCUAGUUAUCCUUUUUGAGCCUUCAGAAUAAAUUACUUCGUUUGGCAACCUCUGAGAAUCGCAAACCCCACACUGGGGCAAGUUUGAGUUGAAAAAGAAAUAAAAGUCUCAAGAGAUGAAAAGUGAUAAAGCAACAAAAGCAAAGAAGAAGAAGAAAAGAGAACCUCGGUUGAACAUGAACUGGGACAAAUUUUGAAAAGUUCAAAAGAAUGGCAGAAGGCCAAAAAGAAAAAAGAGAGCAAAAAAUGAAAGGAAAAGACCCUCAAUUGAAAAUAAACUGGAGCAAGUUCUGAUUUAAUCCUAAAAAUAAGGUUGGCGCAAUAAUGCGAUCUCAGGUCAUUCAAACCACUUUUGAAAAUCUGCUUUCAAACCUUAACUUUUCUAAGUAUCUCACCAGACCCAUUACAAAAGUUGAAAGUUCUGACUUCUGUUUCUUUGCAAUAUCUCUGUCAAGAAAUUUUCUAAUUGGCAAGUGAUGCUUGUAUACUGAUGCCAGAAAUUUUUUAAAUGUAUUUCUGAAUUGAUUAGUUAUGAAGUUGACAGUACUCAUCAUCUGAAAAUCCGCCAUGGCACCUUUGAAAAGAAAGGAAAAGCAAAAAGCAAAAAAUAACUGCAAAGGAAAUGGAAAAGAUUUGAUGGUGAAGUCCCCGUUAAGUAAUGACGAAAGUCACCAAAUCUAAAAUCUUUAAAUUCAAAAUAGGGGCAAUUUUAAAAAAAUGCGAUCUACGGUGCAAUGUCCUUGAAAGUUUUAUACUUUAAACUAUUGUUUUCAAGCCGCAUUACAAGCACAUUGUAGACACCAAAUUUUUGGUGUUUUAUUAUUUAUUUAUUUACUAUUCAUUUUUUAUUUGUUCUAUUUUUAUUUGUCACAAUUAGUUUUAUUUACUUUUAGUUUUAGUUAUUUUAGCCAUUUUGGCGUAGAAUUUCUCAAAGAAAAAAGAAAAGCGUUCAAAAAAAAUAUGUUUUAGUUGUUUUAGAUUUAGUUUUCAUUAUUUAAAAAUGAAAAUAAAAAAAAAUGAAAAAUAGGCGAAGAAAAAACAUGGUUUAGGGCAUUUUGGUUUAUUUUUGAAAAAAAGAGGAAAAAGGAAAAAACAAUGAAAAUGGAAAAUGAAAAAGGGGGAAAUGGAAUUUGCACUUUGUUGUUUCUAGUUUAUUUAUUUUUAUCCAUGUUAAUUAAAUCAUUUUUGUUUUUUAUUUUUAUUAUCAAUUUUGUUUUUUUUUUAAACAAAAUUUUACAUGCAAGCUGCGUUUCCGCAGCUUGCAAGGACAGUCGCACAUGACCAUCGGAUGGCUGAGGUGAGGAACGAAGAGCUGGGAUUGAAAAGGACCAUUGAUAUCAGGGUUUUGGGUUUUGGUCAUUGGAUAUAAAAGGAAAAGAGUGAAGAGAGCAUAAGGGGAGAGGUAGAGCAUGAUAGCCGCAAAUCUGGAAAGGAAAGGAAAAGAAAACAGCGACAGAGUAGAGAGCUGGGGAGAGAGCCGAGAGAGAGAGAGCUAAAGAGGGAUAGCUGUAGGGGCCGAGAGAGCAAGGAACAAAAACUGGGGAAAAGGAGGAGGCUAGCGGAUGAAAAGAGAGGCUCGUUGGCGGCUGCUUGAGCGAGAAAAAUCAGAAAGAAACGAGAGGGAGAGUGGAGAGUUUUGUUUCUUCUCAGCCAUAACCGAAAGGUUGCGAGAGAGGAGAGGAUCGGAAAAGAUAGAAAACAUCGUAGGAAAAAAAGGGCUGAGUUUCUGGGGGAGAGCAUACGGGUUGAGAGGAAAAAGAAACAACAGCGGAGGGAAGAAGGAUUGAAAGUGGCGGCUGCAAAUCUGAAAAGAAAGGAGAGCAAAACAGAGAGGGACGACUGCAAAUCUGUGAGGAAAAAGAAAAAGAAAGCAGCGACAGAGAAGGGGUUUUAGAAAGGAACAAAAGAAAGGGUCUUGGAAAGGAAGUGACGGCUGAGAGGUCCUGGGGAAGAAAAAAAGAAAGCAGAGCAAUUGCUGCUCAUCGCCAUCACCGCCUGCAAACCUCCAUAAACACCGCCCGCGAACCUCCAACCGCCAGUCCGCAUUUGCUGUUGCUGCCGUCCGUCGAUCAUCACCCGCACCAUCACCAUCUAGGCUCAAGUUAGCUUCAGAAACCGAGAGCACUGUAAGUUCCUCUCAAACUUUUGAAGCAUGUCUUUCAUGAUUUUGCUUACGGCUAUAUUUCUGUUGGGGUCCUCAUUUUCUGGUUUGGGUUAAAUGUUUUAAGGGCUAGAAUUGAAGAUUUCGGCAGGUUUCAUGGCACUUGGUUAUGUUGUUUAGUUGCAUCUUAUGGAAACACUGAAGUUAAAUCUAUCUAGUUGUAUGUUACUUCGCAUGAUCAUCUUUCGGUCUGUGACUAAAAUUGCAGAAUGUUAUUUCUAUGCUUGCAUGAUCAUCUGUCCGAGUUUCAGAUGUUUAAACAUAAGGUUUUUGUGGCACUUUUUCUUUUUUCUUCUAUUUCUGUUCUGUAUUCCUGAUGGUCAGCUCUGUUUCUCUCUUUCAAACCUUGCCAUGAAACCAUUUUUAGCCGACGAUGGAUAGGUAUCAUUCUGGUUUCUUAUUGAAUUUGUUUGCAUGAUAAAUGGGAGAGAUUGUAGCUGGUUAAUUGCAGAAGCCUGUGCAUGAAGUCUGCUGCAAUGAGCUUAAAGUUUUGGUCCUGUUGCAGCAGCAUGUGCGAAUACCUUUUCUUUUCCUUAGAUGGCCGAAGCUUUGGCUUUGUUUCAAACGCUUGAUUUGGUUUGUAGCUUGACUGAAAUGUCCGGCAACAGCUCUUGAAAUUGGCUUUAGAUAUCCUUUGCUUGUUUCAUUUGGGUGCUGAAGGGAUGAGAGGGAAGGUUUGGUGUUGAUGUUUGUGUGUUUGUUUAAGGAAAAGCUUGAAGCAUGCCAAAUGGUUGCUAGAAAACGCAUUUCAACUUGCCAAACCAGUUUUAUACGUUUUCCAGAUUUUUCAACUUGCCGAAUGCAUUUCAUUUUUUGCACUGGAUCUUGCUGAGUUUUUCUGUUUGUUUGGAUGAUGGUUUGCUGUCUAGUUUAAAGCCUUGUGUUUGGGUUUGAAAUCUGAAUUGGAAAAAACAAGUUUUGUGUUUGGGUUGUUUGUAUGAAUGUGAAUUCAGCCAAAUGAGUAGCAAGCACAGAAACUAUAUUGCUGAGAAUCUCCCUUGCAGAAAUCUUCUUCAUGCAUGCAUGAAAUAAUUCUUCAAAAUUGCCUCUUAACCCCCUCAAGUUUCACCUUAUGCAAUUAUGACCCACAAAAUUGAGAAAACUAAUCAAUUGGGUCCCUGUGAUUUUUGCAGCAAUGCAUUAUGGCCCAAUUACAUUCCAUGUUCUUGCAAUUAGGUCCUAAGAUAUUUGCAUUUGAACCAUUACUUGAUCCUUUCUUGGCUCUUGGAUCCUUUGAGUUCUUCAAUGUUUCAAUUAGAUUCGAAUGGUUAAUUAAUGUUUGCAAUUGGGUCUUUAGUUUUUUUUUUCUAUUUUAGAAUUUUGAUUAAUGAAUCAUUUUUGCUUAGAAUUCGUGCAUUAUUUGAUCCUUUCUAAGUUGCAAAUUGAGGAAGGGUUCGAUGUUUGAUGGAUUCCGAUUGUCUUAUUUACGUUCUAUCAUUAAAUUGGUGCAUUAAUCCUUUGCUUUGAAUGGUUUUAGCCCAAGUUAUCCCGUUAAUUGGUGACUUUAGCCCAAUUUAAGUCUUGUCCACUUUAUUAGCACCACAAAAGGGGAAGGUAUAAUCUCUUUUAUCUUUUUGUCUCUCCUAUGUGAUCCAACGUGCUAAGUGAGAAGUGCAUGUCUAAUUUGCUUUCCUUGCUUUUCUUUAGUUCCUUUAUUUUAUUUACUUUUGCUUUUAAUUAAGUUAUUCUUUUAUGGGGUAUGUGUACACCUCUUGGCUUGUAAUAGAUAGGGCUUGGAGGAGCAUUUGAUGAAGACCUAUUGAAGACGUGUGCCUAGCUAGCAAAUGUAAUAGGUCUAUUAGCUUGGUUGCUUGCUUUUGUUGCUAUGUGUUAAUUUGCUUUAUUAGGUUCUUGCAUCUAGUCGAGCAUGCUAAGUGUUAUGUGCUAUGUGUUUAUGAGUGAUUGACAUGUCUACUCUCUUUUCAUAGCCAUGAAUGAAUGUGAUGGAUGAAUGUACGUUUCCACUAGUCCAACGCUAGUAGGAAUUCAUAGAAUGGGCUAGUCCAACGCUAGACCCAAUAGGCCGUCCCCCUUUUUGUUAAUGCAUAUUUGCAUGUUCACUACAUUUCAUGCAUUUUUCUUAGUUUUUAUCAUUUGGCAUGCUCCUCCAAUCCUUUUCCCCUCAUUCUAGGCUUUUUGCAUUCUCAUGCUAGUUAUAGGGUACAUUUGCUUGACGAGUCCCCUUUCGAUAAGGGAAACGAGCGAGUUUGGCUACAAAAUAGCCUUAGCACGCUAGUUCUUCCUUCUAAUCCAAGGAAAAAUUAAAGUCCCAAAGUUAGGACUCCCCGUUCCCGUCUUGAUGCAUUCCUAUAGGAUUCAUGCAUUUUACUCAUUCACUAUCACGUACACUUCUACUUUAUAUUCUAUCUCUUUUUCCACAUUCUCACUUCACACGACUUUAAUUCUGCACGUUUUCACUCUACCACUCACACUUUACACAAUAUUAUUCGCACACAUGCACUUUAUGUUUAUACUUUCACCUUAUCACUAUACUCACUUUACCUUGUAAAUCCACUUACACACUAUUGUUUUUAUCACUUUUUCACUUCACACAAACUCACAUUUUCACAUGGCACGCAUUCAUUUCACUCAUUUUUACGUCAUUUAGGAUUAUGUGUGACCUCUCCAAAGGAUCAUUAUUGGGCUUCACAAUUAAUGUGAUUGGCAUCACUCAAGCUUUGGAGAUAAAUUUUACCCCCCAUGUCCCCCUAGGUCUAGGUUUUGCAUUCAUAUAGUCAUAUCCAACAUGCGAUACAUAUCUUGGGUAGAAAAGUAGGAAACGUGGGGCUAAGUCACACAACUAGCUUUGGCUAGGGUAAGGGAGUGCCUUAGGCUCCGCCUUUGCCUUCUCCCUUAUCAAAUGUGGCCCCCGAUCCAUUUCUUUGGUUGCGUAGACCUAAAAGUUCUUUAAAAGGGUUUGUUUAUUUUUUUUUCAUUCAAAAACAAAAAUCAUUUUUGGGUGACUUGGUACACCCUAACUCCGUACCAAGUGGCGACUCCAUUUUUCAUCCAAAAACCCUUUUUGAACUUUAUUUGGCCAAACCGUCGCAUUUUCAAGUCUCACGGCCUUUUAUUUUCAUUUUUUUCACACACGUUCACAUACACACUAUUUCCACACCACAUUAUCAAAAAGUGGGGCGCGACACACAUAAAGUCCAUCGUUGACUUAUCCCUCAUGACAACUCAAAGUAAGGAUUAUGCUUCUGAAGAAUCCCUCAAUCAUUCGGGAUCAUAAGGCUAUAACAUGUUGUCACAUGUUUAGCUAUCGUUUCUACCCAUAUGUUACAAGCUUAUAAAGCUUGUAUAUUGACUAAGUUUUCUCAAGAAAUAAGGGUAACAAAUUUUUUACUUUCACUAAGAUGUGAUGUUGAAGGGUUUACAUAUAAUUUGGGCACAAGAAUAAGACAAAUCCUGACCUCUCAUUUUUCUUAACUUUCUCAAAAUCAGAAAAUAACACCCACUCGAUUGGUCCUGAAAGACGAGCUAGCAAGGAGUGGUGACCCAUCACCCUAAGCAUCAAUGCUAAAGUGAGGAAGGAAUCACUUGUAAAUUGGUAUUAUUUUGAGAAAUUCAUCAUGAAAUUUUCUGUCAGGAAGCAUAGUUUCUUACUUUGUUCAAAUAAAUGGAGAGUCAUCCAAAUAAAUUUUUGCAAUUAAAUGAUCCCACGUUGGGGCAAAUUUUCAUUUGAAAGAUUUUGCAAAAUGAGUCCACAUUGGGGCAAAUUUUUAUUGUAAGAUUUCACAAAAUAAGCCCACACUGGGGCAGAUUUUUUGUAAUACAUUUGAGAAUUUCAAAUCAAUCACGCUACUCUUUUCAUGAGUAGUAGUUGCAAAAUAAGAAUUUUAAGUGCAUAUUGUACUUUGGUGAUCCCCCUGUGUAGGUAUUCAUGGCUGAACAUAAUGAAGAAACAUCCGAUGAUGUGGAAGGCCGAUAUUGGAAAAGAGAAACAAGAAGAAAGAAGGAAAAGGCCCUACACUAGGGCAUAUUUUUGUUGAAAAGAUUUUCUCGAAAAGAUCAAAGAAAAAGAAAAAAGAAAAGGAAAAUCAAGAAAAUUCAAAAAUCAAAAGUCAGAAAAUCAGAAAAAAACAAAUCAAAUCAAAUCAAAAAUCAAAUCAAGUUUAAAUUUUUGUUUCUUGAAAAAUUAAAUUAAAUUUCUUUUUUGGCAAAAUUUCAACGUCUGCCGCGCACCCUUCUAUCCCCACCUUGACAAUCACAUUUAAUUUUUGAUUAAAUGAACGUCAGGACCGGAUUUUAUCCCGCUGACCAAUGAAUGUUGGGACCAGAUUUCAUCCCGCCAACCUCGCCAGGACCGGAUUUUAUCCAACUAGGCAAUGAAUGUUGGGACUGGGUUUCAUCCCGCCAACCUCGGCAGGAUCGGAUUUAAUCCCGCUGACCGUUUAUAUCACGUUGGGAUCGAGUUUAAUCUCGCCAAUCUCGGUAGGAUCGGGUUUAAUCCCGUUGACCGUUUAUAUCACGUUGGGACCGGGUUUCAUCCCGCCAAUCUCGGCAGGAUAGGAUUUUAUCCCGCUGGCCAAUGAAUGUUGGGAUCGGGUUUCAUCCCGCCAAUCUCGGCAGGAUCAGGUUUAAUCCCGCUGACCGUUUAUAUCACGUUGGGACCGGGUUUCAUCCCGUCAACCUCGGCAGGAUCGGGUUCAAUCCCGCUGACUGUUUAUAUCACGUUGGAACCGGGUUCAUCCCGUCAACCUCGGCAGGAUCGGGUUUAAUCCCACUGACCAAUUUAUCAUGGCAGGCUCGGGUUUAAUCCCACUGACCGAUUAUUACGGCAGGCUCGGGUGCUAUCCCACUGACCGAUCAAUUAUCAUGGCUGGUUCGGGUUUAAUCUCACUGACCGAUCAAUUAUCAUGACAGACUCGGGUUUAAUCCCACUGACCAAUUCUCACGGCAGGCUCGGGUUUAAUCUCACUGACCGAUUAUCAAGGCAAGCUCGGGUAUUAUCCCACUGACCAAUUCUCACGGCAGGCUCGGGUUUAAUCCCACUAACCAAUUCAUCACAUUGGGGCAAAUCUUUGGAUAAUUUUUCAAGCAAGUCUUAUGCAGUUUCUCAUACAUACCAGCAUUUUUCAUUUACACUGCCACUAGCCAUUGAGUCAAUCCCACUAGUGAGCAUUUCAUUCACACUGCCACUAGCCGUUGGGUCAGUCCCACUAGUGAGUACUUCAUUUGCAUUGCCGCUAAACAUGGGUCAGUCCCACUAGCGUGCAUUUCAUUUUUAUUGUCACUAAAUAUGGGUCAGUCCCACUAGUGUACAUCCCGUUUAAAUUUCUUGUUUCAGGUCAGUCCCGAUUUUUAAAUUUUCUAUUUCGGGUCAGUCCCGAUUUUUAAAUCCUGUUUCGGGUCAGUUUCGAUUUUAAAUUUUCUGUUCGGGUCAGUCCCAUGAUUUUAAAUUUUGCUCGAGUCAGUCCCACAAUUUUAAAUUUGGUUCGGGUUAGUCCCAUGAUUAAGUUUGUUCGGGCCAGUCCCAUGAUUUUAAAUUUUGUUCGGAUCAGUCCCAUGAUUUUAAAUUUUGUUCGGGUCAGUCCCAUGAUUUAAGUUUGUUCGGGCCAGUCCCAUGAUUUUAAAGUUUGUUCGGAUCAGUCCCAUGAUUUAAAAUUUGUUCGGGUCAGUCCCAUGAUUAAUUUCUUUUUCGGGUCAACCCCAUGCUUAAAUUUUCGUUCGGAUCAGUCUCGUGUUUAAUUUCUCGUUCGGGUCAGCCCCGUUUCAAAUUUUUCGUUUGGGUCAAUCCAUUUUAAAUUAUUUUUGUUAAAGGGAUCAGUCCUCAUUUCAAAAAUGGCAGUCGUUCGAAUAGUUUUCAGCCGAACAAAACAAGUGAGUAUUUGGUGUCUACGUUUUUUUCUCGAGUUUCUUCGUAACUCAAACAAAGAAGGGCAAACUGUAGACACCAAAUUUUUGGCUUUAUUUCUCAUUAUUUUUUAUUGAUGAUUAUUAUUUAUUUUUGUUUUACUAAUCUCAUUUUAGACAUUUUUUUUAGCAUAAAAUUUUUCAGAAAAAAAAGAGAAAAAUCAAAAGAAAAAUCAAAGGGACAAGAAUAAGACACAUGAACCUAUUUUGAGGAUGAAAUCUUGGCCUUUUAUUUUAGGGUUAAUUUUUUGGGGAAGCUUUAAAAGGGAAAAAGAGGGGCGCCGCACAUGGGGGAUUUUUAGAAAGGAAGAACCAUCAGAGAGAUGGAGUAAAAGAGAGAGUUGGCAGAGUAGACGGCUGCCCUGGAUACGGAAAGAAAACAGGAGGGAGAGAGAAAGCAUAGCAUCUGGAGGUGGCUGGAGUUUGAGAAUGUAGGGUUUAAGAAGCUGGAAGAAGAGCUGAAAAACAGAGAAAGAUCAAGUAAGAAAAGCUACGGGCUUUGGGGAGAAAGAGCUGAGAAAAGCAAGAAAUGGUUUCGGCUGUGUAAAUGGCAUGAAAGAUUACGGGAAGAGCCAGGAAACCUAGGAAAGUUACGGGUUUUGGGCAAGUAAGAAGAAAGGGAGGCUGAACCAAAAGGGAGGAUUCGGCUAGGCAAGAAAAGAGCCAAGGAAGAGAAACGGCAGGCUGGGUUGAAGAUCUGGGAAAUCUGAAAAAAAAAUGAAAAAACUAGAAGAAGGAAGCUUCGGGCAGGAGCAAGUCUAUUGGAGAAAGGAAAAAGGAAAAACGCAGAGUGGCCGCAGCAUUAGAGGAUAUCCACACAAGACCUAAACUUCCGCCGGUUUCAAGUGAAAAGAAAAGAUCGCUACGUUGGUGGCGCUGCCGUUGCUGUUGCUGCUCUCGUUCUACUGCCGCCGACUCCAUCACCACAACUCCUCCCUGCUGCCAUUACCGGACAAGAGUUAUUGCCAAUGGCAGAUUUGAUAACAAAUCCUGAGGUGGCUGAUAUUAAAGGUAAUUUCCGUGCUGUUUUUUCCAAUAUAUAAGGUCAAAUAUAUAACAGAUUUUUGCCAUGUUGAUCGCUGCAUUUUCUUGCCCUUUUGUUGUGUCGCUUGGCUUGAGCCUUCUACCAUGUUUGCAUAUGAUUUAAGGUGAUGUUGAGGCGAUGAGUUGUGUUUAAGUUUUGGGCCACAUGAUCUUGUUUCAGUCCAAAUUUGUGAUUUUUGUUAGUGAGGUAUUCGGUUGAUAAUGGAACCCAAUAGUUGCAGAAAUUUUUCCAGAUUUUCGCAUAUUCUCUCUCUGAUUUUUAUGUUUAAACAUAAGACUCUGUGGUCAAAAAUAGAAAGAUUACUGGAUGAUCUUGUUGUUCUGAUUCAAGUUUGUCGGUUUGGCCAUUUAGUUAUAUUUAGACUGCAUUCAAGAACUCACCAGAAAAUUGAAAUCAACAUUCAAAUUAAAGAAGCAAUAAAAGAAUGCAUUUCCUGUCUUUCGAAUCUGUUGGGGAUAGGUAGUAGCACUUUGGGGGCAAUGGUAACAAUGGGUUGAAGAUCAUAGCAUUGGGGUUUGGUGGGUAAAUCAAUAGGUUCUGUUUGCAUCCCUUUGAAUGAUCAUGUUUCGGUUUGGCAUAAGAAAAUUGCAGAAACUUUGAAAGUACUAUCAUUCGAUGCUCGCUAGAUUUUUUCCGUAUGAAUUUCUGGAGUUUAAACAUAAACUUUUAUGUUGAAAAGUUAAAAGAAAGCAUGGUUAUCUUGUUACCUUGAUCUAAUUGUCAUUGGACGAGACAUGAGCUGCAUUUGAAUGAAAAGGAGAUUGCCUCUUAGAACUUAGUUGCAGAAGCUUUUCUCAUGUUAUUUUGCAUGAAGCUGCGUUAGCUUUCAUGUUUUGAUCCCCGCAGCAGCUCACAAAUUGGGUUUCAUCACCUUGUUUGCACAUUUAAUCUUGUGUCAAUGAUGGAUGCCGUCCCUCUGGGUUGUUCACAAACUAUAAAAUCGUAGCAGAAACUCACAUAAGCAAAGGAAAUUUCGUUUGGCCGAAUGUCUGGAUGCAUGCAUGGAAACGUUAUUAAAAUUUGCUUCUUAACCCCCUAAGUCUCCUUUUAUCUUACAAUGGCCCAAGUAAUGGUAAAAUCAAUCAAAUUGACCCCUCAAACUUUCUUUUUUCCUUCUUAACCCCCUAAGUUUAGCUAUUUAAAUGCUUUUAAUGAUUCAAUUUCAUAUUUAUGUGAUUAUUUGCGAUGCCUUGACACUUUCUUUGUUUUUGGAGGGUAAAUAAGUAAUUUCACUCCAUUAGGGCUCCAACUCAAGGGAGGUACACUCUAUCCCUUAUUUUUUACUCUAUUUGACUCUACGUACCUUAUGUGACUUUAAGUGCUUAAUUGCUUGCCUUUUGAGUUAUUUAUAUAUUUAUUUAUUCGCUUUAUUUAUUUUUAAUUUUACAUAUUUAUUUUAGCUCAAUUUUGGUUAUUUAAAAGGCAUUUAAAUGCCAAGUUGUAAUAGUUAGGUUUAUUUUAUUUAUUUGCAUUUCCCCCCGUUAGAUUGUAGUAGGGCCCCCUCAAAUGUAAUAGCUAGGGUUUUAUUUGCUUCCUUUUUGCUUGUGUGAUUUGCAUGCUUACGUGCUAUGUGUUACCGCUUUCUUAGGGUCUUACAUCUAGAUAUCAUGAUUAUGUGUCAUGUGUUUACGUGAUAUUAUGUGUUUACUCAUUUUAUUAUGUUUUAUGAGAUUAUAAUUAAAUGCAUGUUAUCACACUAGUCCAAUGCUAGCUGUGAUUCCUUUCCCGUCACCACACUAGUCCAACGCUAGUUGUGGCCCCUUUCUCGACUCCACACAAGUCCAAUGCUUGUGAGAGAGCAUUAGUAAGAGCUAGUCCAAUGUUAGACCCUUAGGGACUAUUCACACGUUAGAUCAUGAUUGUGUGAUAAAAUCACUUCAUCUCAUGCAUGUUUUCACUUUUUAGGGUUUUUACCAUGUUGCAUGACACUUUUCUCAUAUGUGUAUAUCCUCUAUCCCAUAUCCCCUUCUAUUUAUGUCCCCUAUCUCAUAUUCCCUCUUAUAUCCAUGUCCCCUAUUUCUUAUAAUCCUAUGCAUGAAACAUGACAUUAGACUUGCAUUUUUAUUUAAGAAUUAGAACUAGGCUAGUAUAAUUUCCAUGAUUAGAUUAGGAAAAUUACCCCUUGCGUAUGAGAUAUGAACGAGUUUAGCUUCCUAAUCUUAGCACGCUUGUAUUCCCUUUAUUAAAGGGAACAUUGAAAGUCACGAGUGUAAGUCCCCCGCACCCAUUAUGAUGCAUUCCUUUAGGUCAUACACAUUUGUAUAUUAUUAUUUUCUUUACUUUUUCUUUCUUUCGAGUCUCAUGGUUUGCAUUAUUCGUGACCUCUCCAAAGAGUCUACAUUGGGCAUCACAAUUAAUGUGAUUAGCACUAAUUGAGAUUUGAAAAGAAAUUUCGACCCCCCGAUACCCUCUUAGGUCUAGGGUUUGCAUUCAUAUAGUACAUCCAAAUGUGAUAAAUCUUAAGGGUAUAAUAAGAAAAUCUUUGACUAAAUCGCGCAACUAGCCUUGGCUAGGUUGAAAGGGUGCCUUGGAUUCUUAUCCUUGCCUUCCCUUUCUUCAAAUGUAACUCCCGAAUCUUUUUUUCUGAUUUUCGUAGACUUGGAGUCGUUUAAAAAGGGUUUUUCUACUUUUUCUUUAAAAAUUCAUUUUUAGGUGACUUGGUACACCUUAACUCUAUACCAAGUGGCGACUCCAUUUUUCAAACCCUUUUUAAACUAUAUUUUUGGGUCAAAUCGUCGCAUUUUCAAGUCCCAUUUAGACCCAUGUUUUUCGUUCUCUUCUUAAAUAAAAAAUUCAUUUUCCAGUAAAAAAAAUUGAACCAAAAGCCAUUUUUCUAAACUCGUCUUUUAUUUUCUUAUUUUUAAAAUUGGGGCGCGACAGAGUGCACGUUUUUCGAGACUAUAUUUGAAUCAGGAGUGUAUUAAUAUUAGAGAGUUAAGAAUGAUCAAUGGUAGGUUCAUUGAGGAAUUAAUACUCGACUCAUGUGAAGACUCACAAAAAUUUACCUAUUUUAAACUCCAAAUUCUAGCUCAUUUAAUUAUUUAUUUGGCGAAUUGCCCCAAAUAUUAUUUUCUAAUCUUUUUAGACCUAAUUAAAGGGAUCUAUCGCUUAGUUAUAUUUUUAAAGUGACUUGUUUCAAAAUUAAAUUUCUGAAGACUCGUUAAAUGAAAAUAGUGAAUACGCGAUUGGAAUAAAAAAAUUGAAUCGGGGAUACAAUAAGUUUGGAAAAAUUGGAGAUAUGUACAUUAGUCUCAAAUUAGGUAUUUUAUGUUUAAAUGCUCAAAUAUUAGUUAGUAAUAUAAUCGUUAUAAGAAUUUCUUAAAAGUUAAGUGUUAUAGCGCAAAAUUGGAAGUACGCGUUUUUACGCGCGCGAUUAAUUGAGGGACUUAGACCAUUAUUUUUAGACCAUUAAGAGUGAAUAAUAAUAGUACGAAUGCAAAUGCUUUAGAGGUUUAGAGCACAAGUGAAACAAACUCGAGAGGAAUCAAGUACAAAACACGCGCGUACGCGCACUAUCCUUAGUUGACUUUUAGAGCAAUUUUGGCCACACAUUCUUAAGCUUCUCAUGGAAGCAUCACACCAGAUCAAAACCCUUCUCUUCUCACCUCAAGUGCCGGCCAAACACUCUUUUCCCUUCCAAAACAACCAACCAAACAGCAAAGGAAAGAAAGGAAGAAAAGCUUCUUCAUUCUUGAACCAAUCUUCCUCCAUUUCAUCUCAAAAUUUGCAUCCAACUCACAAACCACUUGGAGAUUCACUUAGGCAAGGAGAAGAGCUUCAUUUCCAAGGUUUCUUGGAGCUUUCUUGUGGCCAAAAAAAUUUGACCUUUUGCAUCUAAGAAGGUAUAUGACGAUCAAGCCCUUAAAUCUUGUCUUAUGGAAGUAGUAAAGCAUAUAUAAGCUCUUGCAUGCAUGUGGGUAGUCUUGUUUAUGAUGGAUUUUUGUUUGGUGGGCUCUAUGAACUCCCACCUUGGAUAUAUGGACUGAUUUGGUGAUUGAUGAUGAAAGUAAUGUUGGUUUAGUACUUAUAUUGGUGGAUUAAUGUUGGAUUAUUGAUGGAAACUCAAAUGAGGUGCAAUGGGAAAAAGUGACCAUUUUACCCCUGGUUUGUUCGACCACUUUCGUGCAAAAUUUUGAGGUUCUAAUGGCUUGUUUAUGUUGUUUACAUGUUAUAUUAGUUGUGUAAAAAGUUUCAUUGAAAAAUAACUUGAUUUGAUCACCCCAAAUGUUGGAUUUACGAAAGCUUAGAAAUCUGGAAAAUGAUUCCCGUCACUACCAGACAGUCAUCUUGUUUCGGCUAUAAUUAAUCUCUCCGAUGUCAGAAUCGAGUAUCGUUUGUGGCACUAGAAACUAGACAUUCCCAGCUUUCAUUUGGUAUAAAAUGCACAUUGUGGUUCCUCUCGAGUGAGCCAAACCAUUCGUUUAAAAAUUGCUGUCCUGUUUCAUUUGUCAUUGGGAGGCAGAUUAUGAACUGCGAUUUGAUGCUCAUGUAUGAGCUAGUUAUGGAUAGAUUUUGAAAAUGGUUUCUUCUAAGAAAAUAUAUCCUUAUGAGUCUAUUUUCUAACGCCACCAACCACACUCAAUUCUGUGUUGAAUUGAGUGAUUUAUGAUUGAAAUUCAAAACUGACUUUGUGAACGAAAACAGUGUUUUGGACAGAUUUGAAACUAACUACGGUUUGAGACUUGUUAUCCAAAGUUUCUUAUUGUAAAUCAUCUAUCGAAUAUACCUUGAACAUAUUUUGGACAUUUUCUACUAGAAUGAACCAUGUUUGAGAUGUUCCUUGACCAAAUGUUUGGAAACAGCAAAACGGAAGUUCAAAGGCAGCUUAGCUUUAGAAUUUCUUGUGAUUUCAACUGUUUUGUUAACCCACUUUCUGUGCUUAUUUCUCCAUGAAAUUUGGUAGAGGAACAACCCUUAUAUGGUAGUAUUAUACUACUAAUUUUGGUGUUAUUCAGAGGUCGUUUCAUUGCUCACCCCGUAGAUUUGUUUUCCUUAACAGGAAUGGACAUGGAAUGAACUUGGAGAAACCCCUUUUGAUGCACUUCUGACUUAGGGUUUCUAAUGUAAUUUGGGCUAGACCUCUUAUUGGUUGUACUCUUGGAAACUUUAUGUAUGAUUUGGAUAUUUGAUGUACCCGGAUAUGGUAUAUUUUGGGUAUUGAUGUAACUUUUGAGAAUUUCAUGUAAAGGUGGAUAAAUGUUAUAUAUAUUGUUAAGUUUAAAAGUUUCCACACUUUCUUAUUUAUCCAGUGCUGUCGAAUAGUUUUGCAUUAAACUUGAACGAAAACUGCUUGAGUCCUAGCGAGAGUUGGGCAGGCGUCCCGCGAAUACCCUCUGGUUCGCCUUAGGGAGAAGUGGGGGCGUCACAAAAAAGCACUUGGUUUCCAUUUCUUCUUAGGGUAUUAAGGUAACUAUAUCAAAAAGCGCUCUUUUUUUUAUUACUUGCUUAUGAGUGGAUUUAAGGUUUGAUUUUGGUAGUUUUCAUGAGAAACUUUAUGGUUUGAGUUGUGAUUCAAAAAUUUCAGCUUUGAUGGUGAAAUUUCAACUUUAAUAUGAUGUUUUUGAGCUUGGCCUUGAUCUAGUAGCUUUGCCAUGUGAAUCUUCUAGCUUUUACAUGUUGUUUUGGCUUGAUUAUAGAAAAUUUCAACUUUUGGUUGAAAAUUUCAGGUUACGGUUUCAAAUUUCAGCUUUGUUGUGGUUGAUUUUUGAGCUAUAAAUUGGCUAUAUUGGAUUGUUUUGUGGCCUUAAACAAGUGUACUUUAUAGCCUAUAACUUGUGGUUGUGAUUGAGGUUGGAUUGAGAUGAAUAUAGGUAUUGAGUUUGGAUGGAAAAGUAAAGAAAAUAAGGGGAAGUGCUGCUGAAAUUUUUAUUACUUCCUUUCUUGUGACAUAAGUGAUGUUAGAGGGGUGAUUUUGGGUUGGUUUGGACCUAGAUUACAUGUGAUCUCUUGAGUGCACUUUGAUGGUAGUGUACAAGCUGAAAUUUUAACAAAAUCAUGUGUAAAAUAAAAGGAAAAGUGAUGGUUUCUUCUAGCAUGCUUUCUAGUUGCAUUUGUUCCACUUUAAACUCGAGGUUGGUUAUCUUUGUCGCUAUUUUAUUGCUGAAAAUUCCAGCCAUGAAUUGGAAUGGGGAACUCCUUCGUUACUCAUGUCCUUCGGGUUCAAAUGUUCUCUUUUCACUCCAAAACCAUAUUUGGGUUGGUUUUGGAUUGAGAUGAAUAUAGGUAUUGAGUUUGGAUGGAAAAGUAAAGAAAAUAAGGGGAAGUGCUGCUGAAAUUUUUAUUACUUCCUUUCUUGUGACAUAAGUGAUGUUAGAUGGGUGAUUUUGGGUUGGUUUGGACCUAGAUUACAUGUGAUCUCUUGAGUGCACUUUGAUGGUAGUGUACAAGCUGAAAUUUUAACAAAACCAUGUGUAAAAUAAAAGGAAAAGUGAUGGUUUCUUCUAGCAUGCUUUCUAGUUGCAUUUGUUUCACUUUAAACUCGAGGUUGGUUGUCUUUGUAGCUAUUUUAUUGCUGAAAAUUCCAGCCAUGAAUUGGAAUGGGGAACUCCUUCGUUACUCAUGUCCUUUGGGUCCAAAUGUUCUCUUUUCACUCCAAAACCAUAUUUGUAUCUUUGCACUAGUAGUUAUUUGGAUUUUCUUUGGUUCACUUAAGCUUUGGAUGGCUGAACCAUAAUGCUUUAUCUUGGAUGUUCUUAGGGUUUGUUGGUGAUCAAGGGCAUAAUCCGGGGGCAAACUUUUGACACUAUUUUGUUGAACUGGUGAGUGUACCACUCAUAUAACUUGUUGCUUAACUGAUUUACUUGUGAUUGAAAUUUAUGAUUUGAAUGACUGUGGCUUUAGUUUAUCCUGGACGGGAUGAGUGCAUACUUUAUCACACUUGUUUCCCCUUGACUAUUUGACUGGUUUACUGUGCAAUUGAAAUUUGUUAUUUGUGCAUGAAUUGAUGUCGUUUGGAGUCUAAUAUCCAACAACCUUACUAUAAAAUUUGAGCUCAAAGCUCAUUGGCAGUUAAUCGAAUCGAGCCAACAAAGGUUUGGUCGAGGUAGAUUGACGAACCAUGAGGAAACUGUUAUUGAUUCACUGACUACUGAAACCUUCUGAUAUUUGGUAUACUCGAAUAUUACUACCACUGUUUCUAUUUAGUGUUCGGGCCCGGAAAGGGGUAUGUUUGGUAGACAGAAACCGGUGUAAAGUAGAGAUCUACGGUCAUUGUUUUUAUUUCUUUAAACAUUGACGGAGUGUCAACGGAUUUCGAUCAAGUUAAUGCAACAGGAAAUUGGCUCUUGAGAGCCACCAGUAUCCUUUUACUUGAAUUGCUCUGUAUAAGUUAUGGUGUUUACUUAUUCCUUUAUUUGAUGCACAUAUUUGAUAGAAUAAGUUCUAACUAUGUGAUUUGUGACUGCAUGACCUUUUGAUACCUCAUUUUGCAAAAACUCAUCCUAUGACCUUUGUUUUCCUUACAGGGGGCGAAGAUUUGGGAGCGUGAUUUUUGGGGAAAGAGUUGAGCUAGUUAUAGUUUUGUUUUGUUUUAAGCUUCUCUGUAUUAGUAAACAUCACAUGUAUUUGUAUAAGUUUGAAUACUCUAGUUUGUACUUUAAGUUUGAAAUGUUAGCGACUCCAUUGUAUAUAGUUCUGGGUUGAUGAAUGGAAGUUAAAUUGCGCGUUUUAGUACUUAAUGUGAAUUUUGGUUUAGUAGUCCUAACGAAAGUUGGGCAGACAGUUCGCUAAUCUUUGGAGUACGUCCUAAGGGAAGAUGGGGCUAUUACAAUAAAAGCAUUCCAUAUGUAUCUGUGAGGCUUUCAUAAUCAUGCUCCUUCUUUAGACUACUUUUUUGUCAAAUGCUACAUUGACUAAUUUAUAGAUAACAGUUUCCCUAUCUUUAUAGCCUUUGUUCUUUAAGUAGUCAAAAUUAGAUGGCUACCUAUAAUUGCUGAAGUUCUCUACUAAAUAUAGCAUGUCACGUCCUAACUCUUGUUUUGCAAUUUUAGAGUCAUAUCCAGAUCUUAUUUAUCCUAUGUUCAUUUCUAAUGAGAGCAUUUGUUAUGAACAAUGUUCUUCUUAAUUGGUUUUAGUUGGUUCUGUUCAAACUUCAAACUACUAUUGAUUUUUUAGCAAAUAAGAAGUUCAACUUACUUGAAGCUGAGUUCUUUCGGAUGGGUUUCAAGUUUGAAGUUAUAAUUAAUUCAAAUUCAUAAGAUUUGAUGUGAAAGUUUAUACCCAAAAAUAAUAGCCUUGACGAUUAUGAGAGCUAUAGUUUACAUAUUCAUAAUAAGUGCAUGUUUAUUGAAAUUUCGCAACUACUACAAUACUCAAAAGCUGUUUGAUGAAAUGCCUAAGAAAAAUAAACUAGAAACACAGAUUAAUAGUAAUUAUAGCAUAGCCCCUAUUAAGUAAAAUCACCCGCGUACCUCAAUUUGUUCUUGAAGAUGAAGGCUGAUGAUGACUAGCUGAUGAUGGCUUGAAGAUGAAGAC